UUGACAGUGUAAACAUGGCGAGCCUUGCAGAUGUCGGGUGGAAACUCUUGGAAUUCAAAUCCCGAUCAAAAAGAUCAGAUUUGUGAUUUAGCUGAGAGAGACGCUUGGCCUUAAUUUCACCUUUUGAGAAUGGCCGGCUCAGUGUCUGCGACUGCCCGGCCUCAUCGGAAAGUUCAAAGAUUUGGAUCCAUCUAUGAACCUCUCAAGCUGUCCAUUCUCCAGCAUGAGGACGAGCCCCUAUGGGAGAAGCUGGACCGCUACUACAAUGCCG
Molecule: long non-coding RNA, 271 nt
Organism: Cottoperca gobio
Lineage: Eukaryota; Metazoa; Chordata; Actinopteri; Perciformes; Bovichtidae
Exons: 3
Source: RefSeq, a predicted model, not a curated record